Molecule: ribosomal RNA, 468 nt
Filed under: uncultured bacterium
Lineage: Bacteria
Description: bacterial SSU rRNA
Rfam family: Bacterial small subunit ribosomal RNA
Source: RNAcentral
GACGAACGCUGGCGGCAUGCCUAACACAUGCAAGUCUAGGGGUAGCAAUACCACUGGCGCACGGGUGAGUAACACGUAGGUUAUCUGCCCCCAUCACAGACAUAACCCCGGGAAACCGGGGCUAAUAUCUGAUGAGGUCGCGAGAUCAAAGCUUCGGCGGAUGGGGAUGAGCCUGCGGCUGAUUAGCUAGUUGGUGAGGUAAUGGCUCACCAAGGCGACGAUCAGUAGCUGGUCUGAGAGGACGAACAGCCACACUGGAACUGAGACACGGUCCAGACUCCUACGGGAGGCAGCAGUGAGGAAUAUUGGUCAAUGGGAGCAAUCCUGAACCAGCAAUGCCGCGUGCGGGAUGACAGGGCUUCGCCUUGUAAACCACUGUCGGACGGGACGAAAGGAGGCCCUCGGGGCCUCUGGGACGGUACCGUCAAAGGAAGGGUCGGCUAACUACGUGCCAGCAGCCGCGGUAAU